AGAGUUUGAUCAUGGCUCAGAUUGAACGCUGGCGGCAGGCCUAACACAUGCAAGUCGAACGGUAACAGGAAGCAGCUUGCUGCUUUGCUGACGAGUGGCGGACGGGUGAGUAAUGUCUGGGAAACUGCCUGAUGGAGGGGGAUAACUACUGGAAACGGUGGCUAAUACCGCAUAAUGUCGCAAGACCAAAGAGGGGGACCUUCGGGCCUCUUGCCAUCAGAUGUGCCCAGAUGGGAUUAGCUUGUUGGUGAGGUAACGGCUCACCAAGGCGACGAUCCCUAGCUGGUCUGAGAGGAUGACCAGCCACACUGGAACUGAGACACGGUCCAGACUCCUACGGGAGGCAGCAGUGGGGAAUAUUGCACAAUGGGCGCAAGCCUGAUGCAGCCAUGCCGCGUGUAUGAAGAAGGCCUUCGGGUUGUAAAGUACUUUCAGCGGGGAGGAAGGUGUUGUGGUUAAUAACCACAGCAAUUGACGUUACCCGCAGAAGAAGCACCGGCUAACUCCGUGCCAGCAGCCGCGGUAAUACGGAGGGUGCAAGCGUUAAUCGGAAUUACUGGGCGUAAAGCGCACGCAGGCGGUCUGUCAAGUCGGAUGUGAAAUCCCCGGGCUCAACCUGGGAACUGCAUUCGAAACUGGCAGGCUUGAGUCUUGUAGAGGGGGGUAGAAUUCCAGGUGUAGCGGUGAAAUGCGUAGAGAUCUGGAGGAAUACCGGUGGCGAAGGCGGCCCCCUGGACAAAGACUGACGCUCAGGUGCGAAAGCGUGGGGAGCAAACAGGAUUAGAUACCCUGGUAGUCCACGCCGUAAACGAUGUCUACUUGGAGGUUGUGCCCUUGAGGCGUGGCUUCCGGAGCUAACGCGUUAAGUAGACCGCCUGGGGAGUACGGCCGCAAGGUUAAAACUCAAAUGAAUUGACGGGGGCCCGCACAAGCGGUGGAGCAUGUGGUUUAAUUCGAUGCAACGCGAAGAACCUUACCUGGUCUUGACAUCCACGGAAGAAUUCAGAGAUGGAUUUGUGCCUUCGGGAACCGUGAGACAGGUGCUGCAUGGCUGUCGUCAGCUCGUGUUGUGAAAUGUUGGGUUAAGUCCCGCAACGAGCGCAACCCUUAUCCUUUGUUGCCAGCGGUCCGGCCGGGAACUCAAAGGAGACUGCCAGUGAUAAACUGGAGGAAGGUGGGGAUGACGUCAAGUCAUCAUGGCCCUUACGACCAGGGCUACACACGUGCUACAAUGGCGCAUACAAAGAGAAGCGACCUCGCGAGAGCAAGCGGACCUCAUAAAGUGCGUCGUAGUCCGGAUUGGAGUCUGCAACUCGACUCCAUGAAGUCGGAAUCGCUAGUAAUCGUGGAUCAGAAUGCCACGGUGAAUACGUUCCCGGGCCUUGUACACACCGCCCGUCACACCAUGGGAGUGGGUUGCAAAAGAAGUAGGUAGCUUAACCUUCGGGAGGGCGCUUACCACUUUGUGAUUCAUGACUGGGGUGAAGUCGUAACAAGGUAACCGUAGGGGAACCUGCGGUUG
RNAcentral lists this ribosomal RNA (1522 nucleotides) under Salmonella enterica. RNAcentral describes it as "bacterial SSU rRNA". It matches the Rfam family "Bacterial small subunit ribosomal RNA". Lineage: Bacteria; Pseudomonadati; Pseudomonadota; Gammaproteobacteria; Enterobacterales; Enterobacteriaceae. RNAcentral also lists the same sequence under 2 other names. The record is from RNAcentral.